RNAcentral lists this ribosomal RNA (458 nucleotides) under Verconia verconis. RNAcentral's name for it is "partial 16S ribosomal RNA". It matches the Rfam family "Archaeal large subunit ribosomal RNA", at positions 1908 to 2665 of the family's 2987-position model. The record is from RNAcentral. Lineage: Eukaryota; Metazoa; Mollusca; Gastropoda; Nudibranchia; Chromodorididae.
AGCCUUAGGUAAACAUCUAAGGUUUGACCUGCCCAAUGUACAGAAUUAAAAAUCAAUAAUGAAUGGCCGCGGUACUUUGACCGUGCUAAGGUAGCGUAAUCAGUUGGCUCUUAAUUGGGGUCAGGAAUGAAUGGAGUCACGGGGCUUUACUGUCUUUUUACUAAUAAUUUGAAGUUACUAUGUAAGUGAAAAAGCUUAUGUGUAGAAAAAGGACGAGAAGACCCUUAGAGUUUUACUAAAUUAUGAAUUAUUAUUUAUAUCAGUUUGGUUGGGGCAACCUGGGAUGGCAGAAUAAUAUGUAAUCUCUCUAAUAUUAUAAACCGAUUAUCUUAAAAUUGAAUAAACUACCUUAGGGAUAACAGCAUAAUUUUAUAUUGAAGUUUGUGACCUCGAUGUUGGACUAGGGAACUUAAAGGCUAGCCGUCUUUUAGGAAAGUUCUGUUCGAACUAUUAUCCCU